GUCCCUGUAGCGCAAUGGAUAGCGCGUUGGACUUCUAAUCUAAAGGUCGUGGGUUCAAAUCCCACAUGGGAUA
RNAcentral lists this transfer RNA (73 nucleotides) under Trichonephila inaurata madagascariensis. It matches the Rfam family "tRNA". Rfam says of the family: Transfer RNA (tRNA) molecules are approximately 80 nucleotides in length. Lineage: Eukaryota; Metazoa; Arthropoda; Arachnida; Araneae; Nephilidae. The record is from Rfam by way of RNAcentral.